UAAGCGAUGGCGUCUCCUAUAGGGCACUGCUAUGUAGGCAAUCUGGAGAGAGAGGUGCAGGUGGUCUUUCCAAGAAAAAGCUAACAUGACAGAAGGAGAUAUAGUGCGUGAGUUUAAACUACUAGUAAAGGUAGAAAUUAAAUCACGCCGCCUAGUGGCUAUUAAUAGACAAGACCUAGAGCUUAGCAAAGAGUUCUCAAAACUCUUUAGGCACGACCUACGCGAAAAAGCUAUAUCUAACUUCCUAUAAGUUAUAGAUAAUAUCUAACAAUAAAUAAUAAUACUCUCCUGCUGCUAGUGGCGUAGGUACAUGUAUAAUUAGGGCUGCAAACGCUUCCUAGAAACUUUAACUUAAUACUGCAAUAAAUUUUGAACUAAAACUUAACCUAUUAAGGUAAACAUAGUAAUAAAGAGAAAGGGGUCCUAUGGUCGCGCGCAGGUGUGAAGUCUUACAAUAUCUCGUUGAUAGAACCCCGCUCACUCUUAAAAAUGAUAAAUUUAAAGACGAUUAGAUACCGUUGUAGUCUUAACUGUAAACUAUGCUGACUAGGGAUUGGGCGAUGUUCUUUUUCUGACUCGCUCGGCACCUUACAAGAAAUUAAAGUUUUUGGGUUCUGGGGGGAGUAUGGUCGCAAGGCUGAAACUUAAAGAAAUUGACGGAAGGGCACCACUAGGCGUGGAGCCUGCGGCUUAAUUUAACUUAACACGGGGAAACUUACUAGGUCCAGAUGAAAUAAGGAUUAACAGAUUAAGAGCUCUUUCUUGAUUUUUUAGGUAGUGGUGCAUGGCCGUUCUUAGUUGGUGGAGUGAUUUGUCUGCUUAAUUGCGAUAACGAACGAGACCUUAACCUGCUAAAUAGCCAGGCUAGCUUUAGCUGGUCGCUGGCUUCUUAGAGGGACUAUUAGCUUAAGCUAAUAGAAGUUUGAGGCAAUAACAGGUCUGUGAUGCCCUUAGAUAUUCUGGGCCGCACGCGCGCUACACUAAUAGAGCUAACAAGUUCUUUACCUUAACUAAAAGGUCUGGGUAAUCUUGUUAAACUCUGUCGUGCUAGGGAUAGAGUAUUGCAAUUAUUGCUCUUUAACAAGGAAUGCCUAGUAAGCGCGUGUUAUUAGCAUGCGUUGAUUACGUCCCUGCCCUUUGUACACACCGCCCGUCGCUACUACCAAUUAAAUGGCUUAGUGAGGCCUUUGGACUGGCUUGGGGAGGUUAGCAAUAACUACCCUGAGCCGGAAAGUUCGUUAAACUUGGUUAUUUAGAGGAAGUAAAAGUCGUAACAAGGUUUCUGUAGGUGAACCUGCAGAAG
This 1303-nucleotide ribosomal RNA is filed under the name Plenodomus biglobosus/Leptosphaeria biglobosa 'brassicae' group. RNAcentral's name for it is "bacterial SSU rRNA". The stretch from base 349 to 1303 matches the Rfam family "Eukaryotic small subunit ribosomal RNA". The record is from RNAcentral. Lineage: Eukaryota; Fungi; Ascomycota; Dothideomycetes; Pleosporales; Leptosphaeriaceae.